GAUGAAGAACGUAGUGAAAUGCGAUAAGUAGUGUGAAUUGCAGAUUUCAGUGAAUCAUCGAAUCUUUGAACGCACAUUGCGCCCGCUGGUAUUCCGGCGGGCAUGCCUGUUCGAGCGUCAUUUCAACCCUCAAGCCCCCGGGUUUGGUGUUGGGGAUCGGCUCUGCCCUUCUGGGCGGUGCCGCCCCCGAAAUACAUUGGCGGUCUCGCUGCAGCCUCCAUUGCGUAGUAGCUAACACCUCGCAACUGGAACGCGGCGCGGCCAUGCCGUAAAACCCCAACUUCUGAAUGUUGACCUCGGAUCAGGUAGGAAUACCCGCUGAACUUAAGCAUAUCAAUAAGCGGAGGA
This 348-nucleotide unclassified non-coding RNA is filed under the name soil metagenome. Its description in RNAcentral is "partial contains 5.8S ribosomal RNA, internal transcribed spacer 2, and large subunit ribosomal RNA". The stretch from base 1 to 120 matches the Rfam family "5.8S ribosomal RNA", at positions 35 to 154 of the family's 154-position model. The record is from RNAcentral.